Molecule: small nuclear RNA, 100 nt
Filed under: Nannospalax galili (Upper Galilee mountains blind mole rat)
Lineage: Eukaryota; Metazoa; Chordata; Mammalia; Rodentia; Spalacidae
Source: RNAcentral
AUGCUCACUUUGGCAGCACAUACACUAAAAUUGGAAUGAUACAGGGAAGACUAGUAUGACUAGUAUGGCCCUACACAUUCGUGAAGCACUAUAUAUAUAU